ACGGAGGGCGCAAGCGUUGUUCGGAAUUACUGGGCGUAAAGCGCACGCAGGUGGUCCCUUAAGUCCACUGUUAAAUCACGGGGCUCAACCCCGGAGGUGCAGCGGAUACUGAGGGACUGGAGACCGGUAGAGGCUAGCGGAAUUCCUGGUGUAGCGGUGGAAUGCGUAGAUAUCAGGAGGAACACCGGUGGCGAAGGCGGCUAGCUGGGCCGGUUCUGACGCUCAUGUGCGAAAGCGUGGGGAGCAAACAGGA
Molecule: ribosomal RNA, 253 nt
Filed under: uncultured prokaryote
Description: partial 16S ribosomal RNA
Rfam family: Bacterial small subunit ribosomal RNA
Source: RNAcentral